GCACUGUGCUGGCUGGGAGCGGGUGUAAUCCGAUGGGUGCUCGCGUCGCUCGGAACUAUCGCGCGUAAAGCCGACGGAGGCGGUCUGCGAAGACGGGGGUGAAUUCCGGGACCGGAACUCCAGAACUGCCUUCGAGACGGGAAAGCUCGAGUCGUGGAGAGGUGAGUGGAACUGCGAGUGUAGAGGUGAAAUUCGUAGAUAUUCGCAAGAACACCAGUGGCGAAGGCGGCUCACUGGCCCGGUACUGACGCUGAGGUGCGAAAGCGUGGGGAGCAAACAGGAUUAGAUACCCGAGUAGUC
This 300-nucleotide ribosomal RNA is filed under the name uncultured Bacillus sp. Its description in RNAcentral is "bacterial SSU rRNA". It matches the Rfam family "Bacterial small subunit ribosomal RNA", at positions 500 to 795 of the family's 1533-position model. Lineage: Bacteria; Bacillati; Bacillota; Bacilli; Caryophanales; Bacillaceae. The record is from RNAcentral.